AAACGGGGACGACCUGUUGAGUCAGGAGCCUGCACAGGUGGUGCAUGGCUGUCGUCAGCUCGUGCCGUGAGGUGUUGGGUUAAGUCCCGCAACGAGNGCAACCCUCACCCUAUGUUGCCAACGGGUUAUGCCGGGCACUCUUAGGGAACUGCCGGCGAAGAGCUGGAGGAAGGGGGGGAUGACGUCAAGUCCGUAUGCCCCUUAUGUCCAGGGCUACACACAUGCUACAAUGGCCGAUACAGAGGGUUCCCAACCCGCAAGGGGGAGGCAAUCCCACAAAGUCGGUCUCAGUUCGGAUUGCAGGCUGCAACUCGCCUGCAUGAAGUCGGAAUCGCUAGUAAGCGCAGAUCAGCAGGCUGCGCUGAAUACGUUCCCGGGCCUUGUACACACCGCCCGUCACACCACGAAAGCCGGUUGUACCAGAAGUCGCUGAGCCAACCGCAAGGAAGCAGGCGCCGAAGGUAUGGUCGGUGAUUGGGGUGAAGUCGUAACAAGGUAAGCGUAGUGCU
This 509-nucleotide ribosomal RNA is filed under the name uncultured bacterium. RNAcentral describes it as "bacterial SSU rRNA". It matches the Rfam family "Bacterial small subunit ribosomal RNA", at positions 1003 to 1509 of the family's 1533-position model. The record is from RNAcentral.